Molecule: long non-coding RNA, 1491 nt
Organism: Oncorhynchus kisutch (coho salmon)
Lineage: Eukaryota; Metazoa; Chordata; Actinopteri; Salmoniformes; Salmonidae
Exons: 2
Source: RefSeq, a predicted model, not a curated record
GAAGAAGACUACGAAGAUCACGUUGCAUUGGUAAGAUAUUAUGUCGCUUUCAAAAAAAACUGGGAACGAGGUCAACUCAUGACUUAAGUGACCGUUCAAAUAGUUUUUUCAGUUCCCAGUUGUUUUGAACCCACAGAAGUCAGAAGUCGAAGAUUUCCGAGUUCCCAGUAGUUUUUAACGCGGCAUUUAAAAAAACAAGUUUAGACAUGGCAUAAAAACACGAGCUCAAGGAUCGAGCAGGGAUAGAGGCGAGACUUUCAAUUUGAGUUUUCAGCAGCGGUUAAUCAAGAUGCCAGUCAUUUGUAGCAGCUGUGCUGAGAAGAGUGCAGUGCUGAAACGUCCAAAGCCGGCCCAUUCCUUGUGCAAAGAGUCCCUCUUCUGGGCCUUUGAGGAGGAGGUGCAUCAGACAAUAAUAUCAGCGCAGCUCUUCAAAGAUGGAGAGACUGUGGGCAUUGUUGCCUCUGGCGGGAAGGAUUCCACUGUGCUGGCCACCUCAGUAAACAAUGCACCUGAUCGGACAGCUCAGAGCUUCUGCUCUUUUCUGUCCAUAAAAAACAAAUGGAUUGGUGGAAGAGGCACACCUCAUGAAGGUCCUAAAUGAGCGCUAUAACUAUAGCCUGAAACUAAUGCUGCUCUCAGUGGACGAGGGCAUGACAGGUAACCGUGAUGACUCCUUGGAGACUGAAGAGAACCAGCAGUAGUAUGAACUACCUCUGAAGAUUGUGUCCUAUGAGGAGCUGUAUGGCUGGACCAUGGAUGCCAUAGUGAAGCAGAUCGGACUGAAGAACAAUGGCUCUUUCUGUGGAGUGUUCCCGAAGACAGGCUCUGGACAGGGGAGCCAUGAUGCUGAAGGUUGAUAAGAUAUGUGCAGGUAAUAUAUAAGACAAAUGUAUUUGUUAUUGAGCAGGCUUAUUUUAUCUAUCUUAUUUCAGAUGUGUAGCCUAGUUUAAACGGUCCUUAAACAGUCCUGUGGCUACAUCUACAGCCAGGCGCUGUGUAAGUCCUGUGUUCUGCUGGAGGGCCUGAACCGUGACCUGCCUAGACUAGGAAUCGGCAAGCACCACCGCCUCCACAGGAAGAUCCUCUCACAGCAGCCUCUGACCCAGGCACAGGAAACUCAAGGCUGUGGACUUCUGAGAGGCGUAUAGGCAGAACGUCUCAGGAUCACCUCCACUGUCUGUGAAGUUACACCUUGAAAUGAGUAACCGAAGAUGCCUCAACCAGAUGUGGAGUUGUUUUUAAGUUUUAGCUUGGAAUUGAAGUAGAGACAUUACGUUGCCUCUAACAAAAGAGUAGCCAGCAUUUCCCCUUUUCAGCCACUGAACAAUGGGGAAGUGGUAAUGAUUAAAAAGGUCCUCCUUGCAGUUGCUGGAAUCUAAAUUCAAUUCACAUUUGGCUAUAUGGUCAGUUAAUUAUGAAACCUCUGACAGCUGAUGAUUGAAAUACAAGUAUUUUGUGUGGUAUCUGUAUAAUAAAGCUAUUCUACAUUUG